GAGGUGAUCAGCAGAUGGUGACCAGCCAGCCUGAGGCACCUGGAAACCAGGUCUUCCUCCUGGCCUCUCCCCUUCAAGCUCCCCUUUGUGGGCUCCAAAGCUCCUGCCUGGCCUUUGUUUCCUAUCUGAGGGCAGUGCAUGGGGAGGGCCUUCGUGCCCCCCAAAACCCUCUUUCCAACGGGGUGAUGGACCAAGGGACGCUCUAGGGAGACGUCUGGGUUAAACAUGGAUAUAAAGAUGCUUCAUGAAGGCGUGACAGUGCCAUUCACUGUGUGUCUCCUGCCCUGUGCAUGGGGCCUGACAAGUGCUCGCCUUUUUGCGGGACAAGCCUUCACCGGGACCCUCUUUGGAACUCUGAGCCUUGUAGGCCACGUUGGAGGUGGGCCUAUCCUGGUGACCCGCUGCAAAGCUGACCCAGGGGACAUGACCUCCAGGAAUUUCAAGUCCACGUCAUGGCCGAAGCCCAAGUUGUAGAGUGGGAACUUGCCCCUGAUGGCAUCUCGGACAUUCUUGAGGAUUUGGGCACGAUCCGUCACCCCUGCAGCCACACAGCCAGGUCACCUUGAAGUCCCCAUUCAGCAAGGUCGUAGAGCACGUGGGGCAGGAUUGCUGCUGGCCCACCGUGGGACGGAAAAGCACAUGACCCUGGAACCAUCGAAGGGUGGCCUGCGGCCCUUGUCUGCAGCCAUGCUGAGAAGUCUCUGGGGGCUCAGCCAUCCCACGCACCUCUUUCCCUGAGAAGGACUUCUUGAUGAGCUGGGCGGCCAGUUCCUUGCGGAGGAAGGAGGCCUGGGC
Balaenoptera musculus (blue whale) is the source of this 795-nucleotide long non-coding RNA. RefSeq lists it as uncharacterized. NCBI's taxonomy places the organism in Eukaryota, Metazoa, Chordata, Mammalia, Artiodactyla, Balaenopteridae. The record is from RefSeq and is a predicted model, not a curated record. The transcript has 6 exons.